AGAGUUUGAUCAUGGCUCAGGAUGAACGCUAGCUACAGGCUUAACACAUGCAAGUCGAGGGGCAGCAUUUUAGUUUGCUUGCAAACUAAAGAUGGCGACCGGCGCACGGGUGAGUAACACGUAUCCAACCUGCCGAUAACUCGGGGAUAGCCUUUCGAAAGAAAGAUUAAUAUCCGAUAGUAUAUUAAAACCGCAUGGUUUUACUAUUAAAGAAUUUCGGUUAUCGAUGGGGAUGCGUUCCAUUAGUUGUUGGCGGGGUAACGGCCACAAGACUACGAUGGGAUAGGGGUUCUGAGAGGAAGGUCCCCCANAUUGGAACUGAGACACGGUCCAAACUCCUACGGGAGGCA
This 350-nucleotide ribosomal RNA is filed under the name uncultured bacterium. RNAcentral describes it as "bacterial SSU rRNA". It matches the Rfam family "Bacterial small subunit ribosomal RNA", at positions 8 to 350 of the family's 1533-position model. The record is from RNAcentral.